GGUCUGCUGCUGAUUGAAGGGAAGGUUGACCUUGAGGCCUUAGAGUCCUGGAGACAUCUAAGCUGGUUUCUCUUUUCUGUCAAUGUAUAAUUCUCUCUGCUCUUCUGUUUCUGCCUCCUUUGAGAGGGAAUUUCCCACUGCUUUGCUGUAGGAAAGACAGGCAAAAUGAAGAUGGCACCUAUAUUCAGUCUCCUUUCCUUUCCUUUCCUCUCACUCCUAAUCACAAAAUAUGCCUAAGAGGUCGAGCUUGGAUAAUAAACUGAACAUUCUUUCAUCUCACUAGUGAAAAAGUGAAACUUGGUACUGAGUUGAAGAAACACUUUGGGUUGAUCAAAUACUGGAAACGACCUCUUCAGAAUAAAGAUCCAUAAUCCUAGUAAAUUCUGAAGCUACUGUGUCAUGAAAUGCAGAAGUUCACAAACAUCUGUCAACACUUGCUGAUGAGACUGCUGAAGCAGCAAGGCUGUGAUGACUCUUGGUAGGAAUAUCUCAGCAUCAUGUGAUUCCUACCACGUGAGAAUGGAGCAAAGCAGCCUCUUUGCCGCCCCAAGCUCAGUGCUCCGUAGACUGAAAAGAAGAUGCAGUCGACAAACAGCUGAGGAGGCUUCAUGAAUGCUGCACACAGCAACUUCAGAGUUCCUCUCUGAACAGGUCUCCAGUUGAUUGGAUGAGAUCCAGCUGCCUUAGGGAGGGCGUCUGCUCAGCUCAGUCUACCAAUUCGAAUAUUAAGCUCAUCCAGAUACACCCUCUCAGACACCCCCAGAAAGUAUGACCAAA
This 777-nucleotide long non-coding RNA is filed under the name Equus caballus (horse). RNAcentral's name for it is "lncRNA (ENSECAG00000047850.1)". The record is from RNAcentral. Lineage: Eukaryota; Metazoa; Chordata; Mammalia; Perissodactyla; Equidae.